AUUGAACGCUGGCGGCAGGCCUAACACAUGCAAGUCGAGCGGUAGAGAGAAGCUUGCUUCUCUUGAGAGCGGCGGACGGGUGAGUAAUGCCUAGGAAUCUGCCUGGUAGUGGGGGAUAACGUUCGGAAACGGACGCUAAUACCGCAUACGUCCUACGGGAGAAAGCAGGGGACCUUCGGGCCUUGCGCUAUCAGAUGAGCCUAGGUCGGAUUAGCUAGUUGGUGAGGUAAUGGCUCACCAGGGCGACGAUCCGUAACUGGUCUGAGAGGAUGAUCAGUCACACUGGAACUGAGACACGGUCCAGACUCCUACGGGAGGCAGCAGUGGGGAAUAUUGGACAAUGGGCGAAAGCCUGAUCCAGCCAUGCCGCGUGUGUGAAGAAGGUCUUCGGAUUGUAAAGCACUUUAAGUUGGGAGGAAGGGUUGUAGAUUAAUACUCUGCAAUUUUGACGUUACCGACAGAAUAAGCACCGGCUAACUCUGUGCCAGCAGCCGCAGUAA
Molecule: ribosomal RNA, 500 nt
Filed under: uncultured bacterium
Lineage: Bacteria
Description: partial 16S ribosomal RNA
Rfam family: Bacterial small subunit ribosomal RNA
Source: RNAcentral